AGUGAACGCUGGCGGCAGGCCUAACACAUGCAAGUCGAGCGGCAGCGGGUCCCCGCGAGGGGAUGCCGGCGAGCGGCGGACGGGUGAGGAACACAUCGGAAUCUGCCUGGUUGUGGGGGAUAACGUAGGGAAACUUACGCUAAUACCGCAUGCGACCCUGAGUCGACGGACUUGGGGUGAAAGUGAGGGACCUUCGGGCCUCACGCGACCAGAUGAGCCGAUGUCGGAUAGCUAGUUGGCGGGGUAACGGCCCGCCAAGGCGACGAUCCGUAGCUGGUCUGAGAGGAUGAUCAGCCACACUGGGAC
This 306-nucleotide ribosomal RNA is filed under the name uncultured bacterium. RNAcentral describes it as "bacterial SSU rRNA". It matches the Rfam family "Bacterial small subunit ribosomal RNA", at positions 30 to 319 of the family's 1533-position model. The record is from RNAcentral.